This 23-nucleotide non-coding RNA is filed under the name Arabidopsis thaliana (thale cress). The record is from RNAcentral. Lineage: Eukaryota; Viridiplantae; Streptophyta; Magnoliopsida; Brassicales; Brassicaceae.
CAUUCAUUUGUAAGUUACAGAGA